Homo sapiens (human) is the source of this 1360-nucleotide long non-coding RNA. NCBI's taxonomy places the organism in Eukaryota, Metazoa, Chordata, Mammalia, Primates, Hominidae. The record is from Ensembl.
AGAGCAGCUUCACCAUCAGGCACAGGACAUGCCAGUUUCGAGAGACGUUUAGGAUUUAUGUGCAACCAAUGAAUAAGAUGGAGUGUCAGAGAGAGUGGGGCCUACCCACUGUCUCCUGGACGAGCUGGGACCAAACCCAGCCUACGCAGGAGGGGUCAUAACAUGAGGCCUGUAUCUGCUUUGUUCCCAUGGAAUCCGGUAAAGUGGAUCCCCAGUUCGACUCCAGCAGGCCCAUCUCUCACCUGUCUGCCACGUCCACACUGCCACCAGGGACAGAGCUAACAUCUGGCUCUGCUUCAUGAGGCCUCCAGCCCCAGAGCAGCUCAGGGACAGGAAGGAUGAACUCUGCCUGGCCUUGCUGAGCUAGUUCUCGGGGCUCCCACUGCAAGCUCUGUGGUUAACGCCUCUGCUGACAGCGGACAGGACAGACUUUCUCUGAAAGUCUGAGUUUCUCUGAAUCUCUGAGGUGCAGGAUUCUCAGAAACCCAGCGGCAGCCUUGCCACGCACCACCGCUGCGACACUGGCCACUCCCGGCAAUCUGAGGGGCAUUUUGUGUGUCCCCAGCACCUGUACAGCCUCACACUUUGAAGGUGUCCAAUCACAUCUGCUGGAGGAACAAGUGGCCCAAUGUUGCAUGGAUCCUCUGGGUCGGUGUCAUCUCUCUGGGUCGGUGUCAUCUGUCCCCUCUCACCAACAGCCUCUUCUUUGCCUUCCGCCAAGAUUGUAAAUUUCCUGAGGCCUCCCCAGCCAUGCUUCCUGUACAGCCUGAAGAACUAGGAUGAAGAUAAAGAUAAGUGAUGGAGGAAGAAGACCCAGCAUGAGGUGAAUGAGUGUUUCACUCAACCCAAAGGGCACUGUUCUGCAAAGGACAUUGCAGCACUCUAUUUCCUGUGAUUCUGCUUUCACAGCCUUCUCAGAUUUUUUUUUUAAUUUAAAAUAAAUGUAUUGCACCAUAAGGAUUUUAAAAAGUUGGUUGUAAAACCUGUUUACAAAAGCUAAAUUAAAAUGUCAUGCUAAAACUGUUGAAAAUAGAGGGCUUUUAAUGAUGCUCCCUUUGAUGUUCACAUUUCUUUGCAAUAGAGUUACAUGAUUUGGGUGAUGCAAAAAGAUGGAGAAAGAAGGAAAGAACUCUCUCACAAAGAUAUAUAGUCUACUCUUCCUGACCUUGAGUACGUUUACUGGCAGACAGAUUGUAAACAAGGUUUACAAAACAUCGAAUGACUAAAUGUAUGUUUCAAAUAUCCAGGUUAAUUUGGCCUUAGAUUAAAAUUACUAUCAUGAGACUUAAACUGCUGAUGUUUAAAUUCAUUUUAUAUCUAUUCAUUUCAAUAAACUAUACUAAAUGGGAAUAUAUUUUAA